UACAGAGGGUGCAAGCGUUGUUCGGAAUCAUUUGGCGUAAAGCGCGUGUAGGCGGUCCGGUAAGUCCGCUGUGAAAGUCGGGGGCUCAACCCUCGGAUGCCGGUGGAUACUGUCGGGCUCGAGUCCGGAAGAGGAGUGUGGAAUUCCUGGUGUAGCGGUGAAAUGCGCAGAUAUCAGGAAGAACACCAAUGGCGAAGGCAGCUCUCUGGGACGGUACUGACGCUGAGACGCGAAAGCGUGGGGAGCGAACAGG
This 253-nucleotide ribosomal RNA is filed under the name uncultured bacterium. RNAcentral's name for it is "partial 16S ribosomal RNA". It matches the Rfam family "Bacterial small subunit ribosomal RNA", at positions 524 to 776 of the family's 1533-position model. The record is from RNAcentral.